Mustela erminea (ermine) is the source of this 308-nucleotide long non-coding RNA. RefSeq lists it as uncharacterized. The record is from RefSeq and is a predicted model, not a curated record. The transcript has 3 exons. Lineage: Eukaryota; Metazoa; Chordata; Mammalia; Carnivora; Mustelidae.
GCCAAGGCCCCGCGGCCUCCCGGUCCACCUUGGAGAGUCACCAUCUACCAGAGGCCGCUGAAGAGGUUCUAUUUAUACCACUGAUAUAUGGGGAUAUGCCUUUCAAAUUUUCUAGAAGGAUUUGGAUCUACUUAUGCACAUAGGCUCACUUCAAGAAAGACUCCAUAUUCUCAACUGAUGAUACUACGCAAUCCUUAACACUGACUUGGAGAUUAAAACUAGCACCCUUCAAUAGGUUCCUAACCUGGACCCUGAUGCUGUCCCCGCACACAAGCUGCAAAAAGAAGAAGACAAGGCUGCUAGUGUCU